GAUGAACGCUGGCGGCGUGCCUAACACAUGCAAGUCGAGCGAUUUACUUCGGUAAAGAGCGGCGGACGGGUGAGUAACGCGUGGGUAACCUGCCCUGUACACACGGAUAACAUACCGAAAGGUAUGCUAAUACGGGAUAAUAUAAGAGAGUCGCAUGGCUUUUUUAUCAAAGUUUUGCGGUACAGGAUGGACCCGCGUCUGAUUAGCUAGUUGGUAAGGUGACGGCUUACCAAGGCGACGAUCAGUAGCCGACCUGAGAGGGUGAUCGGCCACAUUGGAACUGAGACACGGUCCAAACUCCUACGGGAGGCAGCAGUGGGGAAUAUUGCACAAUGGGCGAAAGCCUGAUGCAGCAACGCCGCGUGAGCGAUGAAGGCCUUCGGGUCGUAAAGCUCUGUCCUCAAGGAAGAUAAUGACGGU
This 420-nucleotide ribosomal RNA is filed under the name uncultured bacterium. RNAcentral's name for it is "bacterial SSU rRNA". It matches the Rfam family "Bacterial small subunit ribosomal RNA", at positions 28 to 458 of the family's 1533-position model. The record is from RNAcentral.